CUACGGGUUGCUGCAGUGGGGAAUAUUGGACAGUGGGGGAAACCCUGAUCCAGCAAUGCCGCGUGUGUGAAGAAGGCCUGCGGGUUGUAAAGCACUUUCGGUUGGGAGGACUGCUUCUAGCACUAAUAUUGUUGGAAGUUGACGUUACCUUCAGAAGAAGCACCGGCUAACUCCGUGCCAGCAGCCGCGGUAAUACGGAGGGUGCAAGCAUUAAUCGGAAUUACUGGGCGUAAAGCGCGCGUAGGCGGCUAGAUCAGUCGGGUGUGAAAGCCCCGGGCUUAACCUGGGAACUGCAUCCGAUACUGUCUAGCUUGAGUACAGGAGAGGAGAGUGGAAUUCCACAUGUAGCGGUGAAAUGCGUAGAUAUGUGGAGGAACACCAAUGGCGAAGGCAGCUCUCUGGCCUGAUACUGACGCUGAGGUGCGAAAGCGUGGGGAGCAAACAGGAUUAGAUACCCGGGUAGUC
This 465-nucleotide ribosomal RNA is filed under the name uncultured bacterium. Its description in RNAcentral is "partial 16S ribosomal RNA". It matches the Rfam family "Bacterial small subunit ribosomal RNA", at positions 339 to 795 of the family's 1533-position model. The record is from RNAcentral.